RNAcentral lists this ribosomal RNA (591 nucleotides) under Rhodotorula babjevae. Its description in RNAcentral is "eukaryotic LSU rRNA". It matches the Rfam family "Eukaryotic large subunit ribosomal RNA", at positions 52 to 655 of the family's 3401-position model. Lineage: Eukaryota; Fungi; Basidiomycota; Microbotryomycetes; Sporidiobolales; Sporidiobolaceae. The record is from RNAcentral.
GGAGGAAAAGAAACUAACAAGGAUUCCCCUAGUAGCGGCGAGCGAAGCGGGAAGAGCUCAAAUUUAUAAUCUGGCACCUUCGGUGUCCGAGUUGUAAUCUCUAGAAGUGUUUUCCGCGUUGGACCGCACACAAGUCUGUUGGAAUACAGCGGCAUAGUGGUGAAACCCCCGUAUAUGGUGCGGACGCCCAGCGCUUUGUGAUACACUUUCAAUGAGUCGAGUUGUUUGGGAAUGCAGCUCAAAUUGGGUGGUAAAUUCCAUCUAAAGCUAAAUAUUGGCGAGAGACCGAUAGCGAACAAGUACCGUGAGGGAAAGAUGAAAAGCACUUUGGAAAGAGAGUUAACAGUACGUGAAAUUGUUGGAAGGGAAACGCUUGAAGUCAGACUUGCUUGCCGGAGCUUGCUUCGGUUUGCAGGCCAGCAUCAGUUUUCCGGGGUGGAUAAUGACGGUUUGAAGGUAGCAGUCUCGGCUGUGUUAUAGCUUUCCGUUGGAUACAUCCUGGGGGACUGAGGAACGCAGCGUGCUUUUUGCGAAAGACUCGUCUUUUUCACGCUUAGGAUGCUGGUGGAAUGGCUUUAAACGACCCGUCUU